GAUGAACGCUGGCGGCGUGCCUAACACAUGCAAGUCGAACGGAUGCCUUCGGGCAUUAGUGGCGCACGGGUGAGUAACACGUGGUUGAUCUACCCCAAAGUAGGGGAUAACGUUCCGAAAGGAAUGCUAAUACCCUAUAAGCUCCCGGUGCUUAGAAGACUGGGAGAAAAGUUCCGGCGCUUUGGGAGGAGACUGCGAACCAUCAGCUAGUUGGUGCGGUAAAGGCGUACCAAGGCGACGACGGUUAGGGGACCUGAGAGGGUGGCCCCCCACACUGGAACUGAGACACGGUCCAGACUCCUACGGGAGGCAGCAGUGAGGAAUAUUGCACAAUGGGCGCAAGACCUGAUGCAGCGACGCCGCGUGGGUGAU
This 372-nucleotide ribosomal RNA is filed under the name uncultured bacterium. Its description in RNAcentral is "bacterial SSU rRNA". It matches the Rfam family "Bacterial small subunit ribosomal RNA", at positions 28 to 409 of the family's 1533-position model. The record is from RNAcentral.